GGGGGCGAAUUGGUCUCGACGGAGAGUUGGAGGUCAUUCAUCGCAUGCCGCAGGCGCAAGAGCUGCGUACUAAACCUUGCAAUGCUUAACUGCAAACGAACAAUACGAGCCUAUGGCUCUUGCCGCUUAAUUGACGGUGACGUCUCUUGGGGUUUCUCCCACGAGCUUUAAGAGACGACAAAAUGUGGGAUGGUUGAUGGAUCGCACCGGCGGAUCCUGAGACGAGACUAACAGACGGUUGCUCUUCAAAACCCCUGUCUCGAGGGCCGUUUGAAGAAAAGAUCAAAUCGGGGCUACGCAUGUAGUGGUGAUGACUAAAGGUCUUCGGACGCGGGUUCGAUUCCCGCCGCCUCCAUUU
Molecule: transfer-messenger RNA, 358 nt
Filed under: bacterium
Lineage: Bacteria
Also listed under: 1 other name
Description: GCA-016699445 sp016699445 Standard tmRNA
Rfam family: transfer-messenger RNA
About the family: Bacterial tmRNA, also known as 10Sa RNA or SsrA, is named for its dual tRNA and mRNA-like properties. Its role is to liberate the mRNA from a stalled ribosome.
Source: RNAcentral